Molecule: long non-coding RNA, 354 nt
Organism: Peromyscus eremicus (cactus mouse)
Lineage: Eukaryota; Metazoa; Chordata; Mammalia; Rodentia; Cricetidae
Exons: 2
Source: RefSeq, a predicted model, not a curated record
UUACAGUGUGAGCAUUGUGAUGCAAUCUGCAUUUCGUUUAACUAUCAGCCAAAGGAAAAGAGGAUGGGAACGGACACGCACGGGUUGGCAGAUUACAGUCCAUCACGGAGGGAAGCCAAAACAGGAACCCGAAGACACAGACUGAAGCAGAGAUGAUGGGAUUUCUGGCCUGCACUCUUUGGAUCAUGUCCAGCUAUCUUCUUGAUACCUUCCAGGACUGCCUGUCCAGGGGUGGCCACACACACAAUGGGCUGGGCCCUCCUACAUCAUCCAACCGUCUAAGAAAAUGCCACACAGGCAUGUCUACAGGCCAAGCUGAUGGAGGUGUCUCCUCAUUGAGGUCUUCUCUCCUCA